RNAcentral lists this ribosomal RNA (492 nucleotides) under uncultured bacterium. Its description in RNAcentral is "partial 16S ribosomal RNA". It matches the Rfam family "Bacterial small subunit ribosomal RNA", at positions 30 to 507 of the family's 1533-position model. The record is from RNAcentral.
AUUGAACGCUGGCGGCAGGCCUAACACAUGCAAGUCGAACGGUAACAGAAAGAGGCUUGCUUCUUUCCGGAGGCGAGGCGGGGGCGGGUGUGGAGUACAGCAGACUGUAUGAUGUCGGGGGGGAUCUCGUGGAAAAGGUAGCGAAUACAGCGUAACGUAGCUAGAGCAAAAAGCAGGGGCUCUUCGCACCUUGCCAGCUUAUAUGCGCAGAUGUCGGAUUAGCUAGGUGGGGGGGUAAAGGCACACCAAGGCGACGAUCCGUAGCUGGUCUGAGAGGAUGAUCAGCCACACUGGAACUGAGACACGGUCCAGACUCCUACGGGAGGCAGCAGUGGGGAAUAUUGGACAAUGGGCGCAAGCCUGAUCCAGCCAUACCGCGUGGGUGAAGAAGGCCUUCGGGUUGUAAAGCCCUUUUGUUGGGAAAGAAAAGCAGCAGGUUAAUACCCCGCUGUUCUGACGUUACCCAAAGAAUAAGCACCGGCUAACUUCGUG